GUUUCAGUAGCUCAGCUGGAUAGAGCAACGCCCUUCUAAGGCGUGGGUCGGGGGUUCGAAUCCCUCCUGGAACG
RNAcentral lists this transfer RNA (74 nucleotides) under Paenibacillus sp. 1_12. Its description in RNAcentral is "tRNA_Arg_TCT". It matches the Rfam family "tRNA". Rfam says of the family: Transfer RNA (tRNA) molecules are approximately 80 nucleotides in length. Their secondary structure includes four short double-helical elements and three loops (D, anti-codon, and T loops). Further hydrogen bonds mediate the characteristic L-shaped molecular structure. tRNAs have two regions of fundamental functional importance: the anti-codon, which is responsible for specific mRNA codon recognition, and the 3' end, to which the tRNAs corresponding amino acid is attached (by aminoacyl-tRNA synthetases). tRNAs cope with the degeneracy of the genetic code in two manners: having more than one tRNA (with a specific anti-codon) for a particular amino acid; and 'wobble' base-pairing, i.e. permitting non-standard base-pairing at the 3rd anti-codon position. Lineage: Bacteria; Bacillati; Bacillota; Bacilli; Caryophanales; Paenibacillaceae. The record is from RNAcentral. RNAcentral also lists the same sequence under 4 other names.